RNAcentral lists this transfer RNA (62 nucleotides) under Doleschallia melana. Its description in RNAcentral is "tRNA-Cys". The record is from RNAcentral. Lineage: Eukaryota; Metazoa; Arthropoda; Insecta; Lepidoptera; Nymphalidae.
AGUCUUAUAUUCAAAAUAUGAUAUAAAAUUGCAAAUUUUAAGGUGUAAAAUUACUAAGGCUU